Molecule: ribosomal RNA, 242 nt
Filed under: uncultured bacterium
Lineage: Bacteria
Description: partial 16S ribosomal RNA
Rfam family: Bacterial small subunit ribosomal RNA
Source: RNAcentral
CACGCAGUAAACGAUGAUUACUGGCUGUUUGCGAUACACUGUAAGCGGCUGAGCGAAAGCGUUAAGUAAUCCACCUGGGGAGUACGUUCGCAAGAAUGAAACUCAAAGGAAUUGACGGGGGCCCGCACAAGCGGAGGAACAUGUGGUUUAAUUCGAUGAUACGCGAGGAACCUUACCCGGGCUUGAAAUGCAUCUGACAGGCAAAGAGACUUGCCUUUUCUUCGGAACAGAUGUGUAGGUGC